This 225-nucleotide ribosomal RNA is filed under the name uncultured bacterium. Its description in RNAcentral is "partial 16S ribosomal RNA". It matches the Rfam family "Bacterial small subunit ribosomal RNA", at positions 114 to 334 of the family's 1533-position model. The record is from RNAcentral.
CGCGUAGGUAACCUGCCUUGUAGCGGGGGAUAACUAUUGGAAACGAUAGCUAAUACCGCAUAACAAUGGAUGACACAUGUCAUUUAUUUGAAAGGGGCAAUUGCUCCACUACAAGAUGGACCUGCGUUGUAUUAGCUAGUAGGUGAGGUAACGGCUCACCUAGGCGACGAUACAUAGCCAACCUGAGAGGGUGAUCGGCCACACUGGGACUGAGACACGGCCCAG